CAGAAUCUCGGAUUCCUUGUAGCAAUGGCAACUCAAGCUUCUCUCUUCACACCCACCAUCAUCUCCACCCUUAAAUCAAGCAACCAUGUGAUGGUGCCAUGGAAACAAUCCUCCUUUAUCUCAAUCCCUACCUCUGCUAAAAAAUACUCCAACCCUCAAACAACCAUCAAGGCUACUGCUGCAGAGGGAAAAACUGAGGAGGCUCCUGUGGGAUUCACACCACCAGAGUUGGACCCAAAUACCCCAUCACCAAUAUUUGGCGGCAGCACUGGUGGGUUGUUAAAGAAGGCCCAGGUGGAGGAGUUUUACGUGAUCACUUGGGAUUCACCGAAGGAACAAAUAUUUGAAAUGCUCACUGGUGGUGCAGCCAUUAUGAGGCAAGGUCCUAACUUGCUUAAGCUGGCAAGGAAAGAGCAGUG
RNAcentral lists this long non-coding RNA (419 nucleotides) under Manihot esculenta (cassava). Its description in RNAcentral is "long non-coding RNA (MESC_LNC008840)". The record is from RNAcentral. Lineage: Eukaryota; Viridiplantae; Streptophyta; Magnoliopsida; Malpighiales; Euphorbiaceae.